RNAcentral lists this ribosomal RNA (460 nucleotides) under uncultured bacterium. Its description in RNAcentral is "partial 16S ribosomal RNA". It matches the Rfam family "Bacterial small subunit ribosomal RNA", at positions 338 to 795 of the family's 1533-position model. The record is from RNAcentral.
CCUACGGGUGGCUGCAGUGAGGAAUAUUGGUCAAUGGGCGAGAGCCUGAACCAGCCAAGUCGCGUGAGGGAAGACGGUCCUAUGGAUUGUAAACCUCUUUUGCCGGGGAGCAAAAAGCGGUACGUGUACCGCAUCGAGAGUACCCGGAGAAAAAGCAUCGGCUAACUCCGUGCCAGCAGCCGCGGUAAUACGUAGGGGGCAAGCGUUAUCCGGAUUUACUGGGUGUAAAGGGAGCGUAGACGGCAGCGCAAGUCUGGAGUGAAAUCCCAUGGCUUAACCAUGGAACUGCUUUGGAAACUGUGCAGCUGGAGUGCAGGAGAGGUAAGCGGAAUUCCUAGUGUAGCGGUGAAAUGCGUAGAUAUUAGGAGGAACACCAGUGGCGAAGGCGGCUUACUGGACUGUAACUGACGUUGAGGCUCGAAAGCGUGGGGAGCAAACAGGAUUAGAUACCCGUGUAGUC